GACGUAGGUGGCGAACGUUAUCCGGAAUCAUUGGGCGUAAAGGGUGCGUAGAUGGCAUGAUAAGUUAUUAGUGGGAAACCGAGGCUCAACCUCGUGGAAGCUAGUAAUACUGUUUUGCUUGAGUGCAGAAGAGGUUAACGGAACUCCAUGUGGAGCGGUAAAAUGCGUAGAUAUCGUUUGGAACGCCAACGGUGAAAACAGGCAACUGGGGAUGUGCUGACGCUGAGACACGAAAGCCAGGGGAGCAAACGGG
RNAcentral lists this ribosomal RNA (253 nucleotides) under uncultured bacterium. RNAcentral's name for it is "partial 16S ribosomal RNA". It matches the Rfam family "Bacterial small subunit ribosomal RNA", at positions 524 to 776 of the family's 1533-position model. The record is from RNAcentral.